RNAcentral lists this ribosomal RNA (443 nucleotides) under uncultured bacterium. RNAcentral's name for it is "partial 16S ribosomal RNA". It matches the Rfam family "Bacterial small subunit ribosomal RNA", at positions 338 to 795 of the family's 1533-position model. The record is from RNAcentral.
CCUACGGGUGGCAGCAGUGGGGAAUAUUGGGCAAUGGGCGCAAGCCUGACCCAGCAACGCCGCGUGAAGGAAGAAGGCUUUCGGGUUGUAAACUUCUUUUCUGAGGGACGAAGAAAGUGACGGUACCUCAGGAAUAAGCCACGGCUAACUACGUGCCAGCAGCCGCGGUAAUACGUAGGUGGCAAGCGUUAUCCGGAUUUAUUGGGUGUAAAGGGCGGGUAGGCGGGAAAGCAAGGCAGAUGUGAAACCUCAGGGCUCAACCCUGAGCCUGCAAUUGAAACUGUUGUUCUUGAGUGCAGGAGAGGCAAGCGGAAUGCGGGGUGUAGCGGUGAAAUGCGUAGAGAUACGGAGGAACACCAGUGGCGAAGGCGGAAUGCGGGACAGUAACUGACGCUGAGGCGCGAAAGCGUGGGGAGCAAACAGGAUUAGAUACCCCAGUAGUC